CGCCCCUGUACGCGAGUAGCUAGCCGAGUCCUUGCGCUCCCGUAAGAAAGGCGACGCUGCCGGUGCCAGCGUCGUCUGCCGUUGCUCCCGCCGCUCUCCUCCAACAACGGUGGCGGAUCCAGCUAGAUCUGCAGGGGACGUGUCGAGGAGUCAUCAGCCUUCAGCCCUUCACCACUGCCUUGGCCACCGCAGCAGCCUGGGAGUGGUCGCCCUUCCGGCGCGGCUCAUAGAGUCACGGGGCACGGUGGCGGUGCGCGUCUCCUGCGGUGCUCAGCUCCCACACAGACUCACAAAGGUAUAGGAUGUGAAGUGGAAGGAAAAAGAACUUUGAAAUCUCGCAUCUGCGUACGGUUUCCAAUCGGAUUUGGUGUGAUUGACGAUGCUUGAAUGACCUGAGCUCUUGUCAACUCCUGCUUUUGCUUUUGCUUAGUAGGUCGUUUGUAGGACGAUACAAGCAGGCUGAGAAUUCACAAGUUAGCAAAGAAAACUACUGAAGUAAAACUACUAAAGUAAGGCACAGCCUUCUUGUUGUUAUUCAUAUAUGAAACAAGUCCAAAGUCUAGAAAUAAUAAUGAAUGAGUGGUUUGUUACCUUUGCCGCCUCCACCUGGUGAGGAUGAAGGUGGUGGCUACAUAUCAUUGUGAAUUUUGUAUGUUGAAAUCAUGUGAAAUCAGGUGGCCUGUAAGAUUAUAUAGGUCCUCAAAGCAGAUUUGUAUCAAUCUGCAUGCGUGUACCUCAAAGCAGUAACCUGUUUGACCCUCCGAUCCAACCAAAUAGAGCAGCUAAUUAUUUCUGCUACUGUUAAGCAAUUAUAAAUCAUCAUUUGCUAGAAUCUGCUUAGUUUACAUGAAUAUGUACUUAAAUUUUUUAUAUAUCAGCUUACUAUAUAUGCUAAUUGCUGAACUCUGAACAUCUAAUCAUUCAGACAUUGCCAAAAUGCCAAGAUUGGUAUUAUGGUAUAGCUGUUAGCUGUUGUUCUCUUAGCACGUAGAACUAAGAAGUGAGAAUUGCUCAAGUUUGAAUUGGCAGUGCGUUUGCCGAAUGCAUUGUGUUAGUUCCUCAGCUCUUGUCUCAGUCAUAUUUUGAAGGUAAUUUUUAAUUACCUGAGGUUUCCUCAGUUUCUUGUCUCAGUCGUAUCUUUGCAUCUGCACCCACCUAGCAUAAUGAUCUUUAUCUUUGUGCAGCCUAGGAGGAUGUUACGGAAUUCUAAGAAGCUCAAAUGGCUCAAUGAUCCUUAUAUUUGUGCAGCCUAGGAGGAUGUUACGGAAUUCUAAGAAGCUCAAAUUGCUCUUAAAGGUACCCAACUAAUUUUCAAGGGUGGGUGGGGACGGGUACACCUCCAUUAGCAGGCCUAUGGGGCUUGAGGAUAAGGAGGCCACGGAUUGGUCAAGACUUGCGCUAGCAGUGAACAGAAGGGGGCGGCCGUGUCGCCAUCGGCGGAUCGCCGAGAGGGAGAAGGAUGGCUGCCCAUCUGAAGGUGGAAGAAGAAGCUUGUUUGUAAACAACCAGGGGUUUUUUAAUAAUUGCGACCUAAAUAAGGAGCUUUAAAAAAUGGUUAUUCACAUAAACCCCCCACUUUGGAUUGCGAUCAAUAGUCGCGAUCCAAACUAGGGGGCUUAAUGCAAAAUAAUGGUUCGGUGUUACAUAGAACCCCCUACUUUGGAUCGCGGUUAACCAAAUCAGGGUGUAUUUUGCAAAAAUUCCAGACCGGCGAGAUG
Setaria italica (foxtail millet) is the source of this 1718-nucleotide long non-coding RNA. RefSeq lists it as uncharacterized. The record is from RefSeq and is a predicted model, not a curated record. The transcript is spliced from 3 exons. NCBI's taxonomy places the organism in Eukaryota, Viridiplantae, Streptophyta, Magnoliopsida, Poales, Poaceae.